CUUUGUUUGGUUUCUGUCCCUUUUAAUAAAAUAUAUGAAAAUGUCAGUUCCAAAUUCAACACAAAAAUUUCAUACUAAUGAGCUUGCUAUAACAAUACCAGAAUACAAUUUGGUAAUAAUUUUGUUAUCCACUUUCAAACAAAAAUAAUGUUUCUUUUACAUCUUAAGAACUCAAAAAUAAAAUGACAGUGUGUGGCCUCGACAAUGACAACACACC
This is a non-coding RNA of Biomphalaria pfeifferi, 217 nucleotides long. The record is from the annotation of a GenBank genome assembly. Lineage: Eukaryota; Metazoa; Mollusca; Gastropoda; Planorbidae.